This 493-nucleotide ribosomal RNA is filed under the name uncultured bacterium. Its description in RNAcentral is "partial 16S ribosomal RNA". It matches the Rfam family "Bacterial small subunit ribosomal RNA", at positions 28 to 506 of the family's 1533-position model. The record is from RNAcentral.
GACGAACGCUGGCGGCGUGCUUAACACAUGCAAGUCGAACGGAAAGGCCUGCUUUCCCUUGUGGAUUGCGGGUACUCGAGUGGCGAACGGGUGAGUAACACGUGAGUGAUCUGCCCCCAACUUGGGUAUAAGCCUGGGAAACUGGGUCUAAUUCCCGAUAGGACUGCAGGGUGGUGCCUGUGGUGGAAAACGAUUUUCUAGUGGUUGGGGAUGAGCUCGCGGCCUAUCAGCUUGUUGGUGGGGUAAUGGCCUACCAAGGCGGCGACGGGUAGCCGGCCUGAGAGGGUGGACGGCCACAUUAGGACUGAGAUACGGCCCAGACGCCUACGGGAGGCAGCAGUGCGGAAUAUUGCACAAUGGGCGGAAGCCUGAUGCAGCGACGCCGCGUGGGGGAUGACGGCCUUCGGGUUGUAAACUCCUUUCGACCGCGAGGAAGCCACCUGGUUGGAAGGGUGGUGACGGUAGUGGUAGAAGAAGCACCGGCUAACUACGU